RNAcentral lists this long non-coding RNA (4665 nucleotides) under Heterocephalus glaber (naked mole-rat). RNAcentral describes it as "lncRNA (ENSHGLG00100037827.1)". The record is from RNAcentral. Lineage: Eukaryota; Metazoa; Chordata; Mammalia; Rodentia; Bathyergidae.
CACAGGGACUCCAGAACACUUGAGACCAUGACUCGAAGAAAGUGACAUGACCCCAGGGAUUCUCCAAGACAACCAAUCUAACAGUCGGUUUUCACUAAAGUUUUAAAGCUGCCCAGCUUAGUUCAUGAGGCUCAUUUCAUUUGGACUCCCAAAUUGGAUAAAGACUAAUCAAGAGGAUUAUAUGCCCUUUGGGUAGAUGUAAACUGAAUUCAUCACUGUAUGGUUCAUUCCAGAAUGCUAGAGUGACACAGUAGUUCCAACAGAUGGCCAAUUUUUGUUUUUUAAAAACUGUGUCAGAAAACACUGCAUAGAAAAGAGCUUCCUUUGGGGCAUUGCUGGUCCUGUUAGGGAAACAAUGAGAGGAGGCAGCAAAUGUCAAAGCUUCCUCAUGGUCACCGGGAGAGGGUGCACUAAAAUCUUACAGGUCAUCCUGGAAGAAGGCAAAAAUUAGUAGUAAGGAGAUGAGGCUGCCACAGCUCCCUACAUGCACACAGACACACGUGUGUACAAGCAUGCAUGUAGAGGUAGCACGGGACCUCUUUUUUUUUUCUUUUCUUUUUGAUACCAGAAAUCGAACUCAGGACCUUGUACUUGCAAGGCAGGCACUGGAACCACUGAGCUAAAUCUCUGGCCCUCGCCUGCCUUCUCUGCACAAUCAAAAUGGACCCCUCUUCAGAGCUGUGACCAUGACUACAACUGGGAAAUGAUGUUUCCCCACUUUGUGCCAUGUGUUUAUUCAUUUCCAACAAAUGUGCACUGAGCAUCUCAGUUCCAGAACCUGAGCUGGACACCAUGCUGUACACAAGACACACAGUCCUUGCCUUUCGGGACUUCCAGACUUCAUGUCAUUCAACACUUCAUGGCCAUGGUCAGAUAAUUAAGCCAGCAUUAGCGGAUGUAACCAAAUAACCACAUGAAUCUAGCCUCAGCCUCAGCUGCAGUAGGAGCUGAGUCAGAUGGUGGAAGUAAGCUGUGUAACAGGGUCACACCCGGUCCAGAAAGUGAGUGAGACUUCCCUGAGGAAGUGGUAGCUGAGCUGACUGCGAAAAACAAGAAGUUCCACAGGGAAAGACCCCUCAUGUUGACUCCAUCACUGAGAAAUACCUCGGCUUGUCUCCUUCACCCUCUCCCCAUCCAGUCCUCCAGUGUGGACAUGGCUGUUCUGGCCUCCUGGGAUGCAGCUCUGACCAUGUCAUCGCCCCACAGAGAACCACCCUGGGCCCUCUGCAGCUCAUGGGUGUGCCUCAGACUUGGACGUCUCCCUGCCACGACACCCACAUGCACGCCUCCGACACCAUCGAGGUUGCCAGCUAUCAUAGUUAGGACGCUGAGAUCCCUGAGACCAUCUUCUGUGCUUUUUCACUGGAGGAUUCUAAAAAAUGGAAGGCUGGUGAUCCAUGUUGACACUGUGUUGGGGUACUACCUCUGAGGCAAGUGAUGUCCUGGAUUCCAUUUCCUGUCUUACACACAUCUUUUUUACUCUUCCUGGGCUUUCUUUUAUUACACUUUCAUUUUUAUUUGUACUUUUGCUUUCAUUUUUCAAAGUCUAUAUAUGGUUUUAUAUUCUUGAGUACAACCAAGCCACAGUAGACAUGGUGAGAGUGAUCAUCAAUCUCUUUCUUGGAUGACAGUUCCUUUCUAAGUCAAAGAAACAUUUAGGACUGGGCAGGAUGGCAUUGCCCACAGUCCCAGCACUCUGGGGAGCUGAGGCAGGAAGACUGCAAGUUUGAACCCAGCCUGGGCAACUUAGCAACCUAGUGAGACCCGGUCUCAAAAAAUAAAAAGGACUGGGGAUGUAGUGCAAAGGCCCAGUAAAAAAAUAAAAAGAGAAAGAAGAGAAAAAAGAUAGUGAGGAAGGAAGGGAGAGACAGAAGAUUGAUUUAGGGGCUGGGACUGUAAUUCAGUGCUAGGUCACUUGUAUAACAUGCUUAAGGCCCUGAGCUCAAUCCCCAAUUCUGCAAAAAGAAAUAUUUGACUCACACAUGAUUACAAUCACUUAGUUUCAACUUAUUACAAACUACAUUAUAUCAAAUGCCUGCUAUCAGUGGUGGGAGGCUCUUUUUAAACUUGUCUAAAAUGUAAUAUUCAUACAGAAAUUGGACAGACUCUAAGUGGUCAGCUCAAUAAGUGGUCAGUUUUGUUUUGUUUUUGUUUUGUUUUUUGGUACUGGGGAUCAAACUCAGGACCUUGUGCUUGUGAAGCAGGCACUGGAACCAAUGAGCUAAAUCCCUGGCCCAAGUGGUUGGUUUUAUAAGUGGAACACACCUGUAUCGACAGUACCUACCACCCACAUCCCGAGGUGAAACACGACAUUCACCCCAGAAGCCCUUUAUGUCCUUUUCAGUCACAGCCCCCAGGGGUAACCAUUCUCUGGUUUCUAACAACUUAGAUCAGCUUUGCUUGGUUCUGUGCUUUGUGUUACUAGAAUGCUGCGAUGGGUACUCUUGUCUCUGGGUCUCUCCGGGUUAUUGGACAGAGUUGUAAUUAAUUUCCUCUUGUUGCCAUUUAGGAUACCAUAAUUCACUUAUCCAUUCCCCUGCUGAUAGGUGUUUGGGUUGUUUCCAGUUUGAGGCCAUUGCAGAUAGUGGCACCGUAAGCAUUUUAUGUCUUUGGUUGUGCCUUUCGCUGAGAGUGGAAUGCUGACUCAAGGGAUAUGGUCAGCUUAGUGGCGUAUUAGCCUUUUUGUUGCUGCCAUAACAAAUUACAAGAAGUGUAAUGAGUGGUUAAAACAAAAGCUUUAUCAUCUGACAAGUCUGUGGCUCAGAAGUCCAGGUUGGCUCAAGUAGUCUGUGCUCCAGGCUCAUGAGGCAGUGUCAGCUGGCUGGAGUCUUCUGGGGAUGUGCUAGGAGGAAUUGGCGUCCUUCAGUCUCCUUCAUUAAAUUAAAAUGGCCAGUGCCAUAUCAUUCAAACUUGCCAAAUUCAUUGAGAGCAAGAGACAGGAAGGGGUCAUGAGAUAUUUAUCUCCUUUAUCCCUUAGGGUCACAGUGGGGGCAUGAGACAAGGAGAGGUAGGACAGGUACGUACUUGACUGGUCCAUCCAUCAUAAGAUGCAUUUCAGCUCUCUCAUCUUCGAGGAUCUCCUUCUGGACACCCCACUCCUGGUAUCAGGUUGUGCCUCCAGGCAAGGGCUAGUCAGGAAAACAGGAACCACUCUAGGUAUUGCAAAAAUUGAAUAGUUGGACUUUGAUAAACAGGUGUUGGAAGACUCAAAAAAACCACAAAACUGUAAGAGGCAGCUACCACACACCGGAGGAUGAGGAGUAAAGGGAGCGUCUGGGCUUACAGAGUCGAAAAGUUCAGAGGAGGCGCCCUGAGGAUGGGCACCAGCCUGUGAAGAAGGUGGCAUGCCCAGGCUGUGGUGCUCCUGUGAAGCUGUUUUCGGAGAAUGGAAUGAAGCUGAGUGUGGAGCCAGCCACGGUUGCAGGAAGGGCCACUGCUGUAGUGCCACCAUCAGGACAUGGCCAAGACAGGAUGGAGCUCACGAUUUCCUGGUCUCCUAGAAGCUCCCAUGGUAGAGCCAACACAGAGCUGGCCGCGUAUGAAGAAAUGUGUAGUGCCUCCACCCCAGGUGGGGUUUGGAGCCCAGAGUCAGCAGCAUGUUAACCGGCACAAGGAAACCGAGUCUUUCUCCCCUUUGCCUGGCUUUGUUCUCCUCUCACUUCCUCUUCAGGUUGGGACCUACCAGACUCAAACACCAAGAGGGCGAGAAGCCACAUAGGCACGUGCUCAGCAGCACUCCAUAGCUGGCGGCACUCUGGCUGGCGCGUGCGUGCGUGGGACUUGCUCACACAUGGGAGUUGGCCACAGUGCUCCAGAGAUGUCUUUGCCCAGCCUGUCUCCCUGGUCUCUCCAAGUAGUUCCCAGACUCCACCCAAAGGUGCUUCAAGGGAAAGUGCUCCUUCCCUCUUCAGCCCAAAGCUGCUACACAGUUAACAGAGCCCAGUACAAAAUGGAAAGGUGCCUGAGAAACAGUUAAGUAGGAAUGCUGCACAAGAGCAGCUCAGCCGUCUGCACUUCGCUUGUUGGAACACACACCCUGCCGCACUCUUUGGCUGCUGCUCCGUAAGGAAGGUCUCGGGAAAAGGCACUGUUAUGGCCCCAUACUUCCCUUUCCUUCUCUGUCACCAGCUCCAACCUAACUUGUUGACUGAUGUGAGGAAGUAACUGAGGUCCACAAACUUGGCUCAAAACAGCACAGGUGCAGUAUCUUACAGUUCUGCGGGCCAGAGUUUAGCAUGGGUUCCAUGGGGCCCAAAGCCAGACGCCAGAGGGAUGGCUCCUUCCGGAAGCUCUGGAGAGAAUCUGCGUCUCUGCUGAGGCCCGUUCCUCGAGGCCCCUUGUGCUCCUGGACCCAGGCCCCUCCUGCCGUCAAGGCCAGACCUGCUUCCACCGUCACGUCUUCCCUGGCUCUCUUCUACCUCCCUCCUCUGCAUUUAAGGACCCAUGUGGCUCCGUUACGCUCACUAUGAUAAAGCAAAAUGAUAUCCCCGCCUCAAGAUCCUUGGCCUCAUCACGAACCUACCAAGACCCUUCUGCCAUGGAAAGUUACAGUCACGGGUUCCGGGGAUGAGGAAGUAGACAUUUUGGGGGUCGUUCUGCCUAUCCCAGAUGGGGAUGACAACCUCAUAUCCCCCUUUUUAAAAAAGAUGAAAUGCUUCACGAAUU